UUUCCGUAGGUGAACCUGCGGAAGGAUCAUUAACGAGUUAGGGUCUUCCAGGCCCGACCUCCCAACCCUAUGUUUAUUGAACCUCUGUUGCUUCGGCGGACCCGCCUCACGGCCGCCGGAGGACCGCUGCAGGGCGUCCUCUGGCCAGCGUCCGCCGAUGGCCAACCACUUAAACUCUGAAUGAAUCGUGUCAUAUGUCUAAGUCUAUGAUUAAAUUAAAGCAAAACUUUCAACAACGGAUCUCUCGGUUCUG
This 253-nucleotide unclassified non-coding RNA is filed under the name plant metagenome. RNAcentral describes it as "partial contains small subunit ribosomal RNA, internal transcribed spacer 1, and 5.8S ribosomal RNA". The record is from RNAcentral.